RNAcentral lists this small nuclear RNA (19 nucleotides) under Arabidopsis thaliana (thale cress). Its description in RNAcentral is "snRNA_04364". The record is from RNAcentral. Lineage: Eukaryota; Viridiplantae; Streptophyta; Magnoliopsida; Brassicales; Brassicaceae.
GACCUAUACCCGGCCGUCG